UACCCCGGUGGAAAUUUAAGCAUAUAAGUAAGCGGAGGGAUAAGAAAACUAAACUAGGAUUCCCUUAGUAAUGGCCGAAUGAAACAGGGGACUUUACCCCGUUGAAUUAAGCAUAUAAGUAAGCGGAGGAAAAGAAACUAAACCGGAUUCCCUAAGUAAUGGCGAAUGAACAGGGAUGAGCUCAUUGUUAAAAUCAGGGUCCCCGACUCUGAGUUGUAGCCUGGAGAUGCGUCGCCAACAGGGGCGUAGGUGCGAACCUCUUGGAAAAGAGCAUCAAGGAGGGUGAGAAUCCCAUGCAUCACCUGUGGCCCCCUGUGCUCGGCGCGCUUUCUAAGAGUCACGCUCCUCGGGAUUGGAGCGCAAAGUGGGUGGUAAAUGCCAUCUUAAGCUAAAUAUGGGUUCGAGACCGAUAGCAAACAAGUACCAUGAGGGAAAGGUGAAAAGGACUUUGGAAAGAGAGUUAAAAGUGCCUGAAAUUGCUGUAAGGGAAGCGAAUGGAACCAGUCAACCUCGGCGAGAUUGCUGCGCGCUCAAGUGAGGCCCUGCUCCGGUUGUGCAAACACGGCUGCAGGCGUCGAUCUGGUUGCGCGUGGUCGCUUCUUGCUCUGGGUGUCAGCGUCAGCUCAACUCUGAGGACAACCCCAAGGACAUGGAAGGCCGCCCCCGGGUGGCUGAAGUUGCUUGGCGGAACUCAAGCGUGGACUGCUGGGCGCAACGCGCCUGCGCUGACGACAUGGAUUCGUUCGGCCCGUCUUGAAACCGGUACCCAGGGAUUUCUUGCUGGGCGCCUGGAGCACAUCCUUGACAUAAGUACAAUGACUAACUGGUUUUAUUCGACCCUUCUUGAAAACA
Molecule: ribosomal RNA, 852 nt
Filed under: Levanderina fissa
Lineage: Eukaryota; Dinophyceae
Description: eukaryotic LSU rRNA
Rfam family: Eukaryotic large subunit ribosomal RNA
Source: RNAcentral